Molecule: ribosomal RNA, 433 nt
Filed under: uncultured bacterium
Lineage: Bacteria
Description: bacterial SSU rRNA
Rfam family: Bacterial small subunit ribosomal RNA
Source: RNAcentral
AACGAACGCUAGCGGCAUGCCUAACACAUGCAAGUCGAACGAACCCUUCGGGGUUAGUGGCGCACGGGUGCGUAACGCGUGGGAAUCUGCCCAAAGGUUCGGAAUAACACAGAGAAAUCUGUGCUAAUACCGGAUAAUGUCUUCGGACCAAAGAUUUAUUGCCUUUGGAUGAGCCCGCGUUGGAUUAGCUUGUUGGUGAGGUAACGGCUCACCAAGGCGACGAUCUAUAGCUGGUCUGAGAGGAUGAUCAGCCACACUGGGACUGAGACACGGCCCAGACUCCUACGGGAGGCAGCAGUGGGGAAUAUUGGACAAUGGGGGAAACCCUGAUCCAGCAAUGCCGCGUGCGUGAAGAAGGCCUUAGGGUUGUAAAGCGCUUUCACCUGUGAUGAUGAUGACAGUAGCAGGAGAAGAAGCCCCGGCUAACUCCGUG